CAAAUUUUCUGGUAGCAUCAAUGUGGAUAGCCACAACUAUAAUGUGCUUUUGGGCUAAAAAUAGUCUGUGAUGCUAGUUAUUUUUUUCUUGCUUUCUGAGGAAUGGUUUUCCUGAGGUUCAGGUUACUAUCGAAGAGAUUGAAAUUUGUAUGUGGUUCAGCUUCUAAUUUUUGUUUCUUGGCUUUGAGGGCUUUUUGCUCCUCCUCUUCCUCUUCUUUCUCCUCAGAUUCCUUGGAUUUCCCAGCUUUCCCAGGGGUAGCUUUCAUGUCUGUAAAUAGCUUUUCCUUUGGCAAGUAUGGUAUUAAUAGCAUAUUCUUCAGAGAGAGUUAUCUUUAUUUUCUUCCUCAUCACUAUCAUCUUCCUUCUCAUGCUCUUCCUCCUCAUAGUCAAAAACUCAUUGGCCUGUAACUGUGCACAUUUUUUGUUUGUGGCAUCUGAUGGCUCAAAUUCUUCAUUCUCCUCAUCUUCUCUGUCAUCUUCACAUUUACUGUCUUCUUUCUUGACAGGCUCCUCAUUUUCUGCCCCUUUGGAGUUGGACAUGAUGCUGUUUUAGCUGGAAUGGUCACCUCUUUAGCUGGAGUGGCAACUUUCUUGUCUGGUAUGAUGACUGCUUUGGCUGAGUUAGCAGCUUUCUUGGCCCUGGCCAUGGUGGGACUUUUUAUCAGAAGUCAUGGCUACUUUCUUGGCACAUAUGGUGGCAACAACAGCUGUUCUGGCUGAUGGUACCUCCACUGCUUGUGUGGUCACAGUCUUAUUGUCUUUCUUCUGAGGGACCGCAACCUUUUCUCCACUGCUUUCUUUUCCAUCUUCUGACAUGUCCUCCCACUCCUCACUGUCUCCCAUCUCCUUUGGAGGAAAAAGCAUUUUCUUUGGUUCACUUGGAUUUUAGCAGCCUUUCCAAGCUUCACUAUGUUGGUGAGCACAUGACUAGGAGUUUGGAGAGUGCAGAUCCAUUGGCAGAGGCCCAGAAAAUGUGGUGGUGGCAGAAAGCACAGGGAGAAUUUGGGGCACAGUGAGCAUCCCUUUGCUGGCAGAGACUGAGAUGAAAGAUUCAAGUGUGUUUGAGAAAAUAUUUUUUUUUCUUGCAUUAUUUCAUUUCAUAUCCAGAACAGUCCUGUAAGGUGUUCCCGGCCAAAUGCUUCAUUUUGGGAAGUUUCCUGGAGCUUCCUCAUCUGCUGCAGAAAAGCAUUUAGAGACUCUUCUGUGAAAAGGAGAUUGCUGUUGAGGGCUGAAGUAUUUUGUCUGAAGGAAUUUUCCUUCUUUUGGAAGCCUCUGCUGUUUGGCUCAGCAUUUUCUCCUUUUUAAGCUCAAGCAAUGCAGUACAGAGCCAGGCUAGACACAAGAAAGGACCUUGGAGGGCUUCAAGUGGGAGACUGCAAUCAUAAAUCCUGGAGCUCCCAUUUGUGAGACCUGACCUCAAGUCCUCAGGAAUUGGCUUUAAUGGAAGAGCUGGACUAUAGGAUGAGUAAGAGGGUGGAGGAAGAGCCUAGAUGAAAGUACAAAUGGAAAUACACACCCGCCAUUAAAUGAAGUCCUUCCAUCCUGCCAUUUUGAAAAUCAAACCCACUUCCAGGUUUGAUGCAGAAAUCUUGAGGAUUCUUUAUUUAACUUCUAAUCCCCUGUGAGGACCAUCUUUGUAAUAUGUUUUGGUGAAGCUUUUCUUGUUUGAGAGUAUUAUUUGUUGUCAUUGAAUUAUUUCCCUUGUGUCCUACUUCUCUCUGACUCCACAGUGGAGUUUUCUUGGUAAAGAUACCAGACUGCUUUGCCAUUGCCUUCUCCAUCACUCUUUUAUAGGUAAAGAACUGAAGCAGAGUUAAGUGACUUGCCCAGGGACCGCUAGUAAAUGUCUAAGGCCAGAUUUGAAAUCGAAGGUAACUCUCCCUGAUUCCAAGUCCAGUACUGUGCUACCUAGCUGCCCUAUUAUUUGGUAUUAUUUGUCCUAAUGCCUUUUCAAUUGGAAAGCCAUUGACUGGUUAUCACGUGAUAAGAUUAUUUCCCACAUUGAUAGGAUUAUACCCAUUAAAGUAUCAAAAAAUCUGCCAGUGGUACAAAUGACCAAAUCUUUACUUGUGUACUUUCACACACUUUCUAAAGCCAGGUCUCCUAAUGCCAACAUAUUUGAUUAUAGAUGCUUAAAAGCCAGCUAUGUAGACAUUCACAUAUUUAGGAACAUCUGGAAAAUUGAUUGGAUAAAUUUUGUUUUUC
Molecule: long non-coding RNA, 2205 nt
Organism: Monodelphis domestica (gray short-tailed opossum)
Lineage: Eukaryota; Metazoa; Chordata; Mammalia; Didelphimorphia; Didelphidae
Source: RefSeq, a predicted model, not a curated record